CCAGGUUUCCAGCAUCUUCUGAGGAGAGGCUGAAGGUCCACCAGAGCGCCGUGAGCUACCUGGGUAUGGCCUGCUACAACCGAGGGGCCCUGUCCAGUUUGUUCUACCUGGCCUACGAGUUUCAUGAUGACCCUGAAGGAGGAAUCCUGGCCAACACCAACUGCGGAGGUGAAAACUGUAACCGCGGUUCGGCCCUGGGGGCCCUGCUGGGGGCCGCGGCCGCCCA
Poeciliopsis prolifica (blackstripe livebearer) is the source of this 226-nucleotide long non-coding RNA. RefSeq lists it as uncharacterized. The transcript is spliced from 3 exons. The record is from RefSeq and is a predicted model, not a curated record. Lineage: Eukaryota; Metazoa; Chordata; Actinopteri; Cyprinodontiformes; Poeciliidae.